GAUGAACGCUGGCGGCGUGCUUAACACAUGCAAGUCGAACGAAGCAUUUAGGACAGAUUACUUCGGUUUGAAGUUCUUUAUGACUGAGUGGCGGACGGGUGAGUAACGCGUGGGUAACCUGCCUUGUACUGGGGGAUAGCAGCUGGAAACGGCUGGUAAUACCGCAUAAGCGCACAAUGUUGCAUGACAUGGUGUGAAAAACUCCGGUGGUAUAAGAUGGACCCGCAUCUGAUUAGCUAGUUGGUGAGAUAACAGCCCACCAAGGCGACGAUCAGUAGCCGACCUGAGAGGGUGACCGGCCACAUUGGGACUGAGACACGGCCCAGACUCCUACGGGAGGCAGCAGUGGGGAAUAUUGCACAAUGGAGGAAACUCUGAUGCAGCGACGCCGCGUGAGUGAAGAAGUAAUUCGUGAUGUAAAGCUCUAUCAGCAGGGAAGAUAGUGACGGUACCUGACGAAGAAGCUCCGGCUAAAUACGUG
Molecule: ribosomal RNA, 481 nt
Filed under: uncultured bacterium
Lineage: Bacteria
Description: partial 16S ribosomal RNA
Rfam family: Bacterial small subunit ribosomal RNA
Source: RNAcentral